This is a long non-coding RNA of Rosa chinensis, 1678 nucleotides long. RefSeq lists it as uncharacterized. The record is from RefSeq and is a predicted model, not a curated record. NCBI's taxonomy places the organism in Eukaryota, Viridiplantae, Streptophyta, Magnoliopsida, Rosales, Rosaceae. The transcript is spliced from 9 exons.
UGACAUCACUUGAAAUCAUCGACUGUAAAAAAGUGAAUGCAAAGAGUAUGCAGAAUCUGAACAAGAGUCUCCGAACACUCACCUCUCUUGAAAGAUUGUCACUUGAUUUUGACUGCGACGAAAAUGUAGAUUGGUUUGCGGAGGAGCAGGAGGGGAUGUUUCCCAGCACUCUUACAUAUCUCAGUAUCGGCCGUCUGAAUUGUGAGACCAUCGACGGCGCCAAGUGGUUUGGCCAUCUCAACUCUCUUCGAAAAUUAAAUAUAUUUAAAUGCCCUGCGCUCCGGUGCUUGCCAGAUAGUGGGCUACCCUCUUCUAUUACUUAUCUACAAAUCAGUGGAUGUCCUUUGCUUCAGAAACGGUGCCGAAGAGGAAACGGUGAAUAUUGGCCCAAGAUUGCUCACAUCAAGAGCAUAUUUAUCGGUUUGUAAUGAUCUGACAACGACAGAGGGGUUGCAUUCUGAUCAACUUGGCCAUGUCUCAGAGGGCUUGCAUAUUCUGCGUGUAAGAUCCUAUUGUUUGAACUCGUUGUUGAUUCCACAGUUCUUGGGUCUUGCUUGAUCUGAUGAUCGAUGGGUUUGACAACGACAUGCCAUAUGUUGCACAUCUCAAUUCUGCAGUUUCGUGGAAAGUGGGCAAAAUUUCUUGAUAUGUUAAGACAGAGAUAGGCCAAGGUUAAGAUUGCUCGCAGGACCAAUAUUGCCUUGUCUUGAUGUCUGAGUUAUAAGCCUUCUCUUCUUAUCUGAACUUGCAGACUGUUCUUUAUCUCCUCCACUCAUUCACACUGUUUCCAAGCAGAAUGCAAAUCACAGAGAGAUGAGAGCCAAUUUUGGAGACUUUCUAGAAGGCUUUUAAAGUUGCUCUUUCAAUUUAGUCUUCACAAGCCUGCCACACAAAAUGUGGGAGAGUCGAUCGAGUGUAUAUCAGCUCUGUGAAAGUUGUACGUUGCAAUUAUAUGCAGCGUUACCACUAAAGGCCGUGCAUUUUGGAAAAGAUAGAGAGAGAGGUGAACUAAGCCAUGCGAUGUCCUGAUAGUCCCAGUUGCAGUGCUGCCACUGAAGAUAAACAAAGUGGGUUCUAGUAUUGAAUUCUAUUUUCCAUUUGCAUGUGCCAACCUCUGGAACCUCUUCUAAUCAAAGCUUCUAGUGUUUCUUGAGCUCUCUAGAUGUUAAGCGCGCAAUCCUGCCAGCCUGCCUCUGAAAGUCUGAAGGAGCUAUAAAUUCAUCAAAUGAAAUCUCGAUGCUGUGUGCGGGCGUGCAAAAGAUGACAUGAGGACCAACAUUGUUGCAACUUCAUUAAUUAGAACUCCCCUAACUGGACCUGUAAGAUUUUUUCCAGCUUCCAGCAUGUCUGCUAAUAUGGAGGUCCACGAUAGGUGUCUAUGCUGUUUGUUUUAUUUCAAUAAUUAACCUUCGGCCUCUCACAUAGCUGGAGCAACUAUUUGCAAGGAUGCUGGAGGAACUAUUUGUCAAAGGCUUCAACUUCAAAGGAGCAGAUGUAGUAGCACAUUCCAGUUAGUAGCAUCUUUCUAUUAGCUAUAAAGAGACACUACUGGACUCUUGUUUCUAUUGCUUGUUAAUCAAAUUUUCCAUCAUUUAUGGAACAUUUUCAACAAGGUUUGUACAAACUUUUCACAGAGUGUAUCCUAAAAACUAUACUUGCAAUGUAAUCACUAAUCAGU